GACGAACGCUGGCGGCGUGCUUAACACAUGCAAGUCGAACGAAGAGCGAUGGAAGCUUGCUUCUAUCAAUCUUAGUGGCGGACGGGUGAGUAACGCGUAAUCAACCUGCCCUUCAGAGGGGGACAACAGUUGGAAACGAUGCUAUACCGCAUCGAUUCUGACCUCGGCAUCGAGAUAGAUGAAAGUGGCCUCUACAUGUAAGCUAUCACUGAAGGAGGGGAUUGCGUCUGAUUAGCUAGUUGGAGGGGUAACGGCCCACCAAGGCGAUGAUCAGUAGCCGGUCUGAGAGGAUGAACGGCCACAUUGGGACUGAGACACGGCCCAGACUCCUACGGGAGGCAGCAGUGGGGAAUCUUCCGCAAUGGACGAAAGUCUGACGGAGCAACGCCGCGUGAGUGAUGACGGCCUUCGGGUUGUAAAGCUCUGUUAAUCGGGACGAAAGGCCUUUUUGCGAAUAGUGAGAAGGAUUGACGGUACCGGAAUAGAAAGCC
RNAcentral lists this ribosomal RNA (491 nucleotides) under Veillonella parvula. RNAcentral's name for it is "bacterial SSU rRNA". It matches the Rfam family "Bacterial small subunit ribosomal RNA", at positions 28 to 492 of the family's 1533-position model. Lineage: Bacteria; Bacillati; Bacillota; Negativicutes; Veillonellales; Veillonellaceae. The record is from RNAcentral.